AUAGUGUCAUGCUUUAUCUGCUGCUUUUUAAAAAUCUGAUAUGUUUUGAUUUACAUAUCAAUUAGUGUUUUAUUUAUUUAAGGUUUAUGUUUCUAUUUUAUUUCUGGUUAGUGUGCUUGAUUUUUGCGGAAAUUCAACCUUGAAAUUGUCACGAGAAAAGGGGAAAAAAGCCAUAAAAUUUUGUUAUGACAUUGAAAUG
This is a long non-coding RNA of Cyprinus carpio (common carp), 199 nucleotides long. RefSeq lists it as uncharacterized. The transcript is spliced from 2 exons. The record is from RefSeq and is a predicted model, not a curated record. Lineage: Eukaryota; Metazoa; Chordata; Actinopteri; Cypriniformes; Cyprinidae.